UAUUUUUAUACAAUUUACUUAUUUUUUUAUUACUUUUUCUUUUUUUGUUUCAAUCAAAACAGUACUUACAUUGGCUGUAUUUACCAUAUGGUAUAUUGUCUUUAACUUUAAUGUUAAAAUAUAAUUUUUCAAACAAAAAAAUACACAUGGUGUUCAUUGCCUAAUUUUAGUUCUCACGUGGUUUCUCCAACCAAAGACUUUGAAAUCAUUAAUAACCCUAUUAUAU
RNAcentral lists this long non-coding RNA (226 nucleotides) under Lathyrus oleraceus (garden pea). RNAcentral's name for it is "Pisum sativum (pea) long non-coding RNA (PSAT_LNC009736)". Lineage: Eukaryota; Viridiplantae; Streptophyta; Magnoliopsida; Fabales; Fabaceae. The record is from RNAcentral.